GUGAAUUUGUGGUACAUAUUGAAAAAGAUGACUUUUCGUGACUUAAAAUUUCGCAAUUCUGUCUAAAAGAGGCUUUAUUCUACGCAUUCCACAAGAGCAAUGGCAGGAAUCUACAGGGAAGGAUGACAAAAGUUGAGAGACUAUUCAUGCCAGGAGAGUCUACAGAGCUGGUUUGAAACCCAGGGAGCUACAGAAUUGAGCUAGCCUGGAGAGACGUGACGGGGAGAUUUCACAUACAGAAUUGAGCUAGCCUGGAGAGACGUGACGGGGAGAUUUCACAUACAGAAUUGAGCUAGCCUGGAGAGACGUGACGGGGAGAUUUCACAUACAGAAUUGAGCUAGCCUGGAGAGACGUGACGGGGAGAUUUCACAUACAGAAUUGAGCUAGCCUGGAGAGAUGUGACGGGGAGAUUUCACAUACAGAAUUGAGCUAGCCUGGAGAGACAUGACGGGGAGAUUUCACAUACAGAAUUGAGCUAGCCUGGAGAGACAUGACGGGGAGAUUUCACAUACAGAAUUGAGCUAGCCUGGAGAGACAUGAGGGGGAGAUUUCACAUUCUGAACUUUUUAAUUUCACACUACAUAAUGUUGAAUUCAGAAACCUUUCACGUCACAUGAAAUGAUGCUAUGUAUAAUCUAUUGUUUUCAUGCAGAUUUGAAUUUCCCCGACUUUUUUUUGUGUGCAGUGAUUCAGAAACAUAGUACAAUAAAAAUGAAAACCCAAA
Long non-coding RNA from Ostrea edulis (European flat oyster), 725 nucleotides. RefSeq lists it as uncharacterized. The record is from RefSeq and is a predicted model, not a curated record. NCBI's taxonomy places the organism in Eukaryota, Metazoa, Mollusca, Bivalvia, Ostreida, Ostreidae. The transcript is spliced from 2 exons.